GAACGCUGGCGGCAGGCCUAACACAUGCAAGUCGAACGAACCUUUCGGGGUUAGUGGCGGACGGGUGAGUAACACGUGGGCACGUGCCUUUAGGUUCGGAAUAACUCAGGGAAACUUGUGCUAAUACCGAAUGUGCCCUUCGGGGGAAAGAUUUAUCGCCUUUAGAGCGGCCCGCGUCUGAUUAGCUAGUUGGUUGAGGUAAUGGCUCACCAAGGCGACGAUCAGUAGCUGGUCUGAGAGGAUGAUCAGCCACAUUGGGACUGAGACACGGCACAAACUCGGACGGGGGGAGGGAGGGGGGAUACGAGGGAAAUGAGCAAAAAACUGACAAAGCCAUGACGGGAGAAUAAGGAAGAUAUUAGGGUUGAACAAUUCUUUCACCGGUGACGAUAAUGACGGUACCAGGAGAAGAAGCCCCGACUAACUGAGU
Molecule: ribosomal RNA, 430 nt
Filed under: uncultured bacterium
Lineage: Bacteria
Description: partial 16S ribosomal RNA
Rfam family: Bacterial small subunit ribosomal RNA
Source: RNAcentral